AAAACAACUCUCGGCAACGGAUAUCUCGGCUCUCGCAUCGAUGAAGAACGUAGCGAACUGCGAUACGUGGUGUGAAUUGCAGAAUCCCGUGAACCAUCGAGUCUUUGAACGCAAGUUGCGCCCAAAGCCAUUAGGCCGAGGGCACGUCUGCCUGGGCGUCACG
RNAcentral lists this ribosomal RNA (163 nucleotides) under Symbolanthus nerioides. RNAcentral's name for it is "5.8S ribosomal RNA". It matches the Rfam family "5.8S ribosomal RNA". From Rfam's summary of the family: 5.8S ribosomal RNA (5.8S rRNA) is a component of the large subunit of the eukaryotic ribosome. Lineage: Eukaryota; Viridiplantae; Streptophyta; Magnoliopsida; Gentianales; Gentianaceae. The record is from RNAcentral.